This 665-nucleotide long non-coding RNA is filed under the name Androctonus crassicauda. Lineage: Eukaryota; Metazoa; Arthropoda; Arachnida; Scorpiones; Buthidae. The record is from RNAcentral.
CUUAAAUAAUAAUCUUGGAAUAUGGUAAUUAACUUCCAUAAAAUAAAUUUAAACAAAGCAUUUAAAUCUAAAAAUAAUAAUAAUAAAUUAUAUAAAAAUUAAACUAUUAACUAUUUAAAAAUAAAGUAUAUAUUCUUUAUAUAAAAAUUGUAUCGAAUGUAGACUUUAGUUAUAUAUGAUGUCAUUGUGAAGUGGAGUGAUGUAUCUAUGUUUAUAUUUAAUGCAAGAAACGGCUACCCAAUGGCCGGGCAAGGUGCAAACUAGGAGCUUAGCUUCAACGAAAUUUUGGCUCAAUAACUAGUGGCGUAUGUGUUUAUGUGCGUAGAAUAGUAUUUAGAUAACGAAUAACUGAAGCAUGAAAGCUAUCACAUUCCAUAAGUUUCAUUUUUUUCUUUUUGCUUAUUUUGAUGUGCUUCGUUUGGUUAUUAAUUCAAUUUCUGUUUAAUUCUUCGGAUUAUAAUGGAAAAACUAUCUACAAAAAAAAUAAUAAUAAUUUUAAUAUAAUUCUACCUAUACAUAAGAAACAAAAAAAGUAUAAUUCCAGCGAUAAUCGAAUAAAAAAAAUAUCAAUCGUGUGUUUAAAUCCAAAAUAUAUACUUGUAUAUCUUGAUAUGGCUUCCUACAUUUAUCAACUUUAACACAAUAUAUGUAAUAUUUAUGUUUCA